GAUGAACGCUGGCGGCGUGCCUAAUACAUGCAAGUCGAGCGAACAGACGAGGAGCUUGCUCCUCUGACGUUAGCGGCGGACGGGUGAGUAACACGUGGAUAACCUACCUAUAAGACUGGGAUAACUUCGGGAAACCGGAGCUAAUACCGGAUAAUAUAUUGAACCGCAUGGUUCAAUAGUGAAAGACGGUUUUGCUGUCACUUAUAGAUGGAUCCGCGCCGCAUUAGCUAGUUGGUAAGGUAACGGCUUACCAAGGCAACGAUGCGUAGCCGACCUGAGAGGGUGAUCGGCCACACUGGACCUGAGACACGGUCCAGACUCCUACGGGAGGCAGCAGUAGGGAAUCUUCCGCAAUGGGCGAAAGCUUGACGGAGCAACGCCGCGUGAGUGAUGAAGGUCUUCGGAUCGUAAAACUCUGUUAUUAGGGAAGAACAAAUGUGUAAGUAACUAUGCACGUCUUGACGGUACCUAAUCAGAAAGCCACGGCUAACUACGU
RNAcentral lists this ribosomal RNA (496 nucleotides) under uncultured bacterium. RNAcentral describes it as "partial 16S ribosomal RNA". It matches the Rfam family "Bacterial small subunit ribosomal RNA", at positions 28 to 506 of the family's 1533-position model. The record is from RNAcentral.